CGUGGUAUUUACGACGAUUUCACCCUACGAGGACUUUACGACGAUUUGUGCUUACGUGGAAUUAACGAGUGUUAUGUUUAAAUCCCUAGAAUCUGAAACCCGAAACCAGAAACCCCAACCCCGAAACCCCAAACCCGAAACCCCAAACCCGAAACACCAAACCCGAAACCCCAAACCCAAAACCCGAAACCCGAAACCCCAAACCCCAAACCCCAUAUUCCUUAUUUU
Molecule: long non-coding RNA, 228 nt
Filed under: Brassica napus (rape)
Lineage: Eukaryota; Viridiplantae; Streptophyta; Magnoliopsida; Brassicales; Brassicaceae
Description: long non-coding RNA (BNAP_LNC010855)
Source: RNAcentral